GAGUUUGAUUAUGGCUCAGGACGAACGCUGGCGGCGUGCCUAAUACAUGCAAGUCGAGCGGAGUUGAAUAAGUGCUUGCACUAAUUCAACUUAGCGGCGAACGGGUGAGUAACACGUAAAGAACCUGCCUCAUAGACUGGGACAACUACUGGAAACGGUAGCUAAUACCGGAUAACAUAUUUUACCGCAUGGAAAAAUAUUGAAAGUCGGUCAUGCUGACACUAUGAGAUGGCUUUGCGGUGCAUUAGCUAGUUGGUAGGGUAAAGGCCUACCAAGGCGACGAUGCAUAGCCGACCUGAGAGGGUGAUCGGCCACACUGGGACUGAGACACGGCCCAGACUCCUACGGGAGGCAGCAGUAGGGAAUCUUCCGCAAUGGACGAAAGUCUGACGGAGCAACGCCGCGUGAGUGAAGAAGGAUUUCGGUUCGUAAAACUCUGUUGUUAGGGAAGAAUGAUUGUAUAGUAACUAUAUACAGAGAGACGUACCUAACCAGAAGCCACGCA
Molecule: ribosomal RNA, 505 nt
Filed under: Gemelliphila palaticanis
Lineage: Bacteria; Bacillati; Bacillota; Bacilli; Caryophanales; Gemellaceae
Description: bacterial SSU rRNA
Rfam family: Bacterial small subunit ribosomal RNA
Source: RNAcentral